AGUGAACGCUGGCGGCAGGCCUAAUACAUGCAAGUCGAACGGCAGCACAGCAGAGCUUGCUCUGUGGGUGGCGAGUGGCGGACGGGUGAGGAAUACGUGGGAAUCUGCCCAGUCGUGGGGGAUAACGUAGGGAAACUUACGCUAAUACCGCAUGCGCCCUUCGGGGGAAAGCCGGGGACCUUCGGGCCUGGCGCGAUUGGAUGAGCCCACGUCGGAUUAGCUAGUUGGCGGGGUAAAGGCCCACCAAGGCGACGAUCCGUAGCUGGUCUGAGAGGAUGAUCAGCCACACUGGAACUGAGACACGGUCCAGACUCCUACGGGAGGCAGCAGUAGGGAAUAUUGGACAAUGGGCGCAAGCCUGAUCCAGCCAUGCCGCGUGAGUGAAGAAGGCCCUCGGGUUGUAAAGCUCUUUUGUCCGGAAAGAAAAGCGCCGGGUUAAUACCCUGGUGUCCUGACGGUACCGGAAGAAUAAGCACCGGCUAACUUCGUGCCAGCAGCCGCGGUAAAG
This 508-nucleotide ribosomal RNA is filed under the name uncultured bacterium. Its description in RNAcentral is "bacterial SSU rRNA". It matches the Rfam family "Bacterial small subunit ribosomal RNA", at positions 29 to 525 of the family's 1533-position model. The record is from RNAcentral.